This 23-nucleotide small nuclear RNA is filed under the name Arabidopsis thaliana (thale cress). RNAcentral's name for it is "snRNA_04549". The record is from RNAcentral. Lineage: Eukaryota; Viridiplantae; Streptophyta; Magnoliopsida; Brassicales; Brassicaceae.
AUACUUUGCUGAAUCCACUUGUU